This 1372-nucleotide long non-coding RNA is filed under the name Anser cygnoides (Swan goose). Its description in RNAcentral is "lncRNA (ENSACDG00005012955.1)". The record is from RNAcentral. Lineage: Eukaryota; Metazoa; Chordata; Aves; Anseriformes; Anatidae.
CACAGAAAACAGCAUUUGCAAAUUCUUACCAGGAAAUGCCAACUCAGGAAAACAGUUCCUAUUAAAAGCUGAACUGAGAUACAUCCUUUGUGAAAAUUCAGCAGGGAAAUUUUCUGAAUUCCAUAACUGUAGAGACUACUUGCUGCAGAUACAAAAAUAUACAAAAAUAUUUCCUCACUGUAUGUUAAGCUUACGAUGAUGACUAUAUGUUAAAUUUACAGUGAUGGUGAUGAAUGGAAAGCACAAUUUCUCUUCUAGUGGAUAUUGCAAAAUUUUGACACACAUUUAUUCUCCCAGACUGGAACAUGACUGUGAUAGAAAGCUUAAUGUAGAACAUAUUCAUAAAGAAAGGUGGUUUUUUUGUUUGUUUGUUUGUUUGUUUUUUUAAAGUAUUUGAAAUUGCUUUCUUUCUAUAGCUCAGAUGAAAACAUUAACAUUUUAUUUUGGGAAUGUGUAGAUUCACAAGGCUUCAUUCCUUAGUGGUACAAACCUUUGUGCAAAUGGCAAUGACUCCUUGUCUUCUGGCAGCUAUUCUUGGUAGCACUGCCAUGUCACUGGGAGUGUAGCACAUCCUGUGUCAGAGGGGUCAUUCUGUCUUAGGAGUUGUCAGAGCCACAGCUAUGUUCAUCGAGGAGAAUGAGAAUCUCAGAAUAAUAGCUAUAUAUAUAGACACGGUGGAAAUCUGAUUAACAAUAAAUGUUAAUCCCCAAGUGGAACAAACUUAUGCCUAGUUGUGUUUUGUGCUAUUCUAGUGCAGUCCAAUGUCAUGCAGCUGUACCAGCAAUGGAAGAAAUAUGGCGACAAUUAUGUGGGAUGUUCUUUGGAGUUAAACUUUCUAUUUGGCAGAGGUGGAGACAGAUCACAGAGACAGCACCCAUGGGCAUGCAACUUUCCCAUCUCCUGUCCUCCUGCAGCAUGAUGUUGUGCCCAAAAGCACUGGAAAAGGUCUCCACCAGCCACAACAAUGUAAGAUCUUGUUAAGGGAGGCAUACCUUGCUAGUGGGAACCGGGGAUCUGACCUGAACUCCAACUUAAUGCAAGAUUUUGUCCAGCAUAUCCCAUCGAGGCCCAGGAACACAUGCUUUGCAGCAGCAGAUGUUCCAGGAAAACAACAAUUUUGAUGAAACCCAGAGAAAGAGAGCCUACCACUUUCUUUAAUAAUAUAUAAUAAUAGCAAUUAAUCUCACUGUUUAAAGGUGUAUUUUUUAUUUAAAUAUUUUUAUAGGCUUUAUUUCCUCUUUUUUGUCCGUGUUAUUAUAUUUUCAUAUCUGACCACUUCUCAUACUCAUCAGUAGGCUGACACCAUCCUGUACCAGGUUAUCAUUCUUAAUGAUAAAAUAAAUGAUUUGCCAUAAGAAAAAUAAUUCUAAAA